This 328-nucleotide unclassified non-coding RNA is filed under the name soil metagenome. RNAcentral describes it as "partial contains 5.8S ribosomal RNA, internal transcribed spacer 2, and large subunit ribosomal RNA". The stretch from base 1 to 120 matches the Rfam family "5.8S ribosomal RNA", at positions 35 to 154 of the family's 154-position model. The record is from RNAcentral.
GAUGAAGAACGUAGCAAAAUGCGAUAAGUAGUGUGAAUUGCAGAAUUCAGUGAAUCAUCGAAUCUUUGAACGCACAUUGCGCCCCUUGGUAUUCCGAGGGGCAUGCCUGUUCGAGCGUCAUUAUAACCCCUCAAGCUCAGCUUGGUGUUGGGGCCUGCCGCACGGGCAGCCCUUAAAAUCAGUGGCGGUGCCAUCUGGCUCUAAGCGUAGUAAUUCUUCUCGCUAUAGAGUCCCGGUGGAUGCUUGCCAUUAACCCCCAAUUUUCUAUGGUUGACCUCGGAUCAGGUAGGGAUACCCGCUGAACUUAAGCAUAUCAAUAAGCGGAGGA